AUUGAACGCUGGCGGCAGGCCUAACACAUGCAAGUCGAGCGGAUGAAGGGAGCUUGCUCCUGGAUUCAGCGGCGGACGGGUGAGUAAUUCCUAGGAAUCUGCCUGGUAGUGGGGGAUAACGUCCGUAAACGGGCGCUAAUACCGCAUACGUCCUGAGGGAGAAAGUGGGGGAUCUUCGGACCUCACGCUAUCAGAUGAGCCUAGUUCGGAUUAGCUAGUUGGUGGGGUAAAGGCCUACCAAGGCGACGAUCCGUAACUGGUCUGAGAGGAUGAUCAGUCACACUGGAACUGAGACACGGUCCAGACUCCUACGGGAGGCAGCAGUGGGGAAUAUUGGACAAUGGGCGAAAGCCUGAUCCAGCCAUGCCGCGUGUGUGAAGAAGGUCUUCGGAUUGUAAAGCACUUUAAGUUGGGAGGAAGGGCAGUAAGUUAAUACCUUGCUGUCUUGACGUUACCAACAGAAUAAGCACCGGCUAACUUCGUG
This 484-nucleotide ribosomal RNA is filed under the name uncultured bacterium. Its description in RNAcentral is "partial 16S ribosomal RNA". It matches the Rfam family "Bacterial small subunit ribosomal RNA", at positions 30 to 507 of the family's 1533-position model. The record is from RNAcentral.